UUGGAUGUUCUUGUUCACUGUAAAUUACCAUUCACCAUCCCCUCCCUAUCUCAAGUAGUUCAGUGAACAAUCUGCCCAUCUAUACCUAAAAGGCAAGAGUUCUUUCUUUCCUUCUUGGCAGGAAUACUUGGAAAUUUUAAACAAUUUAAAUAUCAACUGCCUUAUGUUCUUCUUACCCUUUCACGAAAUGUCAAACAUUCAUAUUUUCAAUACUAAUGAACAACCACCAAUUGUUUUAAUUUCAUUAUUUUCUCAGCUGAAAGAGUGCUUACAGAGCACAGAAAUAGCUAAGCUUUCUUUUUAUAGAUCUCAGUGGUGAUUUUAAAACAAGUUUAGACUGAAAGAAAAAAAUACUGAUUUUUUUCCCCUCUGAGUAGAAUUCUCUUGAUUAAACUGGCCUUCAUUAUCUAUCCAUCAGUUGAAAAAUAAGAUCCUAGGAGAAGAUCUCAAAAUCUAGGGCUUGUGAGGGUUUUAACAAGCCAUUUGCUGGUCUCCAGGCAGGACUGAAUUCUAUUUGUACUGACAGCAAUUCUACCUGUUCUUAAAAAUAGCUAGCUCUGCCACCUUAAAUGGUAACAAAUUCUAGGAGAGAUGGUUCGGCUUUCUGACUAGUAUCCAGGCACAGCACACAGUGUACCAUGGCUCAAAACCAGAACUGCCAUAAUUUUGAAAUUCAACCUAAAUGGUAGCUCUUCCACCCACUUGCUACUCCACAGGAGGAGUGUUAAGAGAUUUUGGAAAUAACAUUUGCUCUUCUAGUGACAGAUUUCUUUUUUAGUUCAUAAAAUGACAUUCUCUAGAUUGGGAUAAAUAAAUAUGUCUUCCAAAAGGAUGUAACGUUCUUCCUCGGCCCUAAGGAACAGUUUCAGAUGGGGAGAUGAAGGUUGAAUCCUUGG
Molecule: long non-coding RNA, 896 nt
Filed under: Marmota monax (woodchuck)
Lineage: Eukaryota; Metazoa; Chordata; Mammalia; Rodentia; Sciuridae
Source: RNAcentral